Molecule: long non-coding RNA, 346 nt
Organism: Apodemus sylvaticus (European woodmouse)
Lineage: Eukaryota; Metazoa; Chordata; Mammalia; Rodentia; Muridae
Exons: 3
Source: RefSeq, a predicted model, not a curated record
CCCAGAGAUCUGUAACUCUCUAGCCGCUGUGACCAAACCAGAGCCCCGCAGAACCCCCACAUACAGCACCGGAAUGUCUUUCCUGUUAAUGUGAAUGAUGAACAGAGACAGCAUGAAUCUGGGAGGCCAAUGUGUGACUAAUGUCUCAGCAAAAUGGGUGGAGUGCUCCGAGUGAAGGUGAAGUUCAUUGUUCCUCCAGGUCUGCGAAUUCCUGAAUUAAGCAGGUGACCCACCCAGUUGCCUGAGCAGUGGAGCCAAGGACCACCAGAUGAAUUCCCUGGAACUCAACCUGGAGUCUGGGGGGAGGGGCUUGCCCAAACUGUUAAAUGUUCUGACUGCCAUUAAA